AGAGUUUGAUCAUGGCUCAGAAUGAACGCUGGCGGCAGGCCUAACACAUGCAAGUCGAACGGAUCCUUCGGGAUUAGUGGCGGACGGGUGAGUAACGCGUGGGAACAUACCCUUUGGUACGGAAUAGCCUCGGGAAACUGGGAGUGAUACCGUAUGUGCUCUUCGGAGGAAAGAUUUAUCGCCCAAGGAUGAGCCCGCGUAGGAUUAGCUAGUUGGUGAGGUAAAAGGGCUCACCAAGGCGACGAUCCUUAGCUGGUCUGAGAGGAUGAUCAGCCACACUGGGACUGAGACACGGCCCAGACUCCUACGGGAGGCAGCAGUGGGGAAUAUUGGACAAUGGGCGAAAGCCUGAUCCAGCAAUGCCGCGUGAGUGAUGAAGGCCUUAGGGUUGUAAAGCUCUUUUACCCGGGAUGAUAAUGACAGUACCGGGAGAAUAAGCUCCGGCUAACUCCGUG
Molecule: ribosomal RNA, 455 nt
Filed under: uncultured bacterium
Lineage: Bacteria
Description: bacterial SSU rRNA
Rfam family: Bacterial small subunit ribosomal RNA
Source: RNAcentral